AAGUCGUAACAAGGUUUCCGUAGGUGAACCUGCGGAAGGAUCAUUCAUAAUCAAGUGUUUUUAUGGCACUUUAAAAAUCCAUAUCCACCUUGUGUGCAAUGUCAUCUCACUGGAAGGUCACGGCUGUAAAAAUCCGGCGGCCAACCUUUGGGAUUUAUAUCUACUCAGAACUUUAGUGAUUUUGUCUGAAACAUAUUAUGAAUAACUUAAUUCAAAAUACAACUUUCAACAACGGAUCUCUUGGCUCUC
This 249-nucleotide unclassified non-coding RNA is filed under the name Mortierella alpina. Its description in RNAcentral is "partial internal transcribed spacer region". The stretch from base 1 to 46 matches the Rfam family "Eukaryotic small subunit ribosomal RNA", at positions 1786 to 1831 of the family's 1831-position model. The record is from RNAcentral. RNAcentral also lists the same sequence under 2 other names. Lineage: Eukaryota; Fungi; Mortierellomycota; Mortierellomycetes; Mortierellales; Mortierellaceae.